This 97-nucleotide microRNA precursor is filed under the name Mus caroli (Ryukyu mouse). RNAcentral's name for it is "microRNA 1958 (MGP_CAROLIEiJ_G0007870.1)". Lineage: Eukaryota; Metazoa; Chordata; Mammalia; Rodentia; Muridae. The record is from RNAcentral.
AGCCUAGAAGAGAACUUACUUCUUCCACUUUCCUGUAGUUUAAUUUCUAACUGCAUUCUAUAGGAAAGUGGAAGCAGUAAGUUCUCUUCUAGGUUCU